This 1624-nucleotide ribosomal RNA is filed under the name Campylobacter coli. RNAcentral's name for it is "partial 23S ribosomal RNA". It matches the Rfam family "Bacterial large subunit ribosomal RNA", at positions 1319 to 2925 of the family's 2925-position model. The record is from RNAcentral. Lineage: Bacteria; Pseudomonadati; Campylobacterota; Epsilonproteobacteria; Campylobacterales; Campylobacteraceae.
AUGUGAGAAUCAUUAACGCCGUAAACCCAAGGUUUCCUACGCGAUGCUCGUCAUCGUAGGGUUAGUCGGGUCCUAAGUCGAGUCCGAAAGGGGUAGACGAUGGCAAAUUGGUUAAUAUUCCAAUACCAACAUUAGUGUGCGAUGGAAGGACGCUUAGGGCUAAGGGGGCUAGCGGAUGGAAGUGCUAGUCUAAGGUCGUAGGAGGUUAUACAGGCAAAUCCGUAUAACAAUACUCCGAGAACUGAAAGGCUUUUUGAAGUCUUCGGAUGGAUAGAAGAACCCCUGAUGCCGUCGAGCCAAGAAAAGUUUCUAAGUUUAGCUAAUGUUGCCCGUACCGUAAACCGACACAGGUGGGUGGGAUGAGUAUUCUAAGGCGCGUGGAAGAACUCUCUUUAAGGAACUCUGCAAAAUAGCACCGUAUCUUCGGUAUAAGGUGUGGUUCGCUUCGUAUUAGGAUUUACUCCGAAAGCGAAGAAACUUACAACAAAGAGUCCCUCCCGACUGUUUACCAAAAACACAGCACUCUGCUAACUCGUAAGAGGAUGUAUAGGGUGUGACGCCUGCCCGGUGCUCGAAGGUUAAUUGAUGGGGUUAGCAUUAGCGAAGCUCUUGAUCGAAGCCCGAGUAAACGGCGGCCGUAACUAUAACGGUCCUAAGGUAGCGAAAUUCCUUGUCGGUUAAAUACCGACCUGCAUGAAUGGCGUAACGAGAUGGGAGCUGUCUCAAAGAGGGAUCCAGUGAAAUUGUAGUGGAGGUGAAAAUUCCUCCUACCCGCGGCAAGACGGAAAGACCCCGUGGACCUUUACUACAGCUUGACACUGCUACUUGGAUAAGAAUGUGCAGGAUAGGUGGGAGGCUUUGAGUAUAUGACGCCAGUUGUAUAUGAGCCAUUGUUGAGAUACCACUCUUUCUUAUUUGGGUAGCUAACCAGCUUGAGUUAUCCUCAAGUGGGACAAUGUCUGGUGGGUAGUUUGACUGGGGCGGUCGCCUCCCAAAUAAUAACGGAGGCUUACAAAGGUUGGCUCAGAACGGUUGGAAAUCGUUCGUAGAGUAUAAAGGUAUAAGCCAGCUUAACUGCAAGACAUACAAGUCAAGCAGAGACGAAAGUCGGUCUUAGUGAUCCGGUGGUUCUGUGUGGAAGGGCCAUCGCUCAAAGGAUAAAAGGUACCCCGGGGAUAACAGGCUGAUCUCCCCCAAGAGCUCACAUCGACGGGGAGGUUUGGCACCUCGAUGUCGGCUCAUCGCAUCCUGGGGCUGGAGCAGGUCCCAAGGGUAUGGCUGUUCGCCAUUUAAAGCGGUACGCGAGCUGGGUUCAGAACGUCGUGAGACAGUUCGGUCCCUAUCUGCCGUGGGCGUAAGAAGAUUGAAGAGAUUUGACCCUAGUACGAGAGGACCGGGUUGAACAAACCACUGGUGUAGCUGUUGUUCUGCCAAGAGCAUCGCAGCGUAGCUAAGUUUGGAAAGGAUAAACGCUGAAAGCAUCUAAGCGUGAAGCCAACUCUAAGAUGAAUCUUCUCUAAGCUCUCUAGAAGACUACUAGUUUGAUAGGCUGGGUGUGUAAUGGAUGAAAGUCCUUUAGCUGACCAGUACUAAUAGAGCGUUUGGCUUAUCUUUAAUAAAGCAU